RNAcentral lists this ribosomal RNA (141 nucleotides) under Rhexodenticula sp. Its description in RNAcentral is "partial large subunit ribosomal RNA". The record is from RNAcentral. Lineage: Eukaryota; Fungi; Ascomycota; Sordariomycetes.
CAGGCCAGCAUCGGUUUUCAUAGGGGGAUAAAAGCCUUGGGAAUGUGGCUCCUCCGGGAGUGUUAUAACCCAGGGUAUAAUACCCCUAAGGAGACCGAGGUUCGCGCUCUGCAAGGAUGCUGGCGUAAUGGUCAUCAGCGA